AAAUUGAAGAGUUUGAUCAUGGCUCAGAUUCAACGCUGGCGGCAGGCCUAACACAUGCAAGUCGAACGGUAACAGGAAGCAGCUUGCUGCUUCGCUGACGAGUGGCGGACGGGUGAGUAAUGUCUGGGAAACUGCCUGAUGGAGGGGGAUAACUACUGGAAACGGUAGCUAAUACCGCAUAACGUCGCAAGACCAAAGUGGGGGACCUUCGGGCCCCAUGCCAUCAGAUGUGCCCAGAUGGGAUUAGCUAGUAGGUGGGGUAACGGCUCACCUAGGCGCCGACCCCUAGCUGGUCUGAGAGGAUGACCAGCCACACUGGAACUGAGACACGGUCCAGACUCCUACGGGAGGCAGCAGUGGGGAAUAUUGCACAAUGGGCGCAAGCCUGAUGCAGCCAUGCCGCGUGUAUGAAGAAGGCCCUCGGGUUGUAAAGUACUUUCAGCGGGGAGGAAGGGAGUAAAGUUAAUACCUU
Molecule: ribosomal RNA, 472 nt
Filed under: Streptomyces sp. ActVer
Lineage: Bacteria; Bacillati; Actinomycetota; Actinomycetes; Kitasatosporales; Streptomycetaceae
Description: bacterial SSU rRNA
Rfam family: Bacterial small subunit ribosomal RNA
Source: RNAcentral